Molecule: long non-coding RNA, 2887 nt
Filed under: Homo sapiens (human)
Lineage: Eukaryota; Metazoa; Chordata; Mammalia; Primates; Hominidae
Description: PREDICTED lncRNA (TCONS_00241767)
Source: RNAcentral
GAGAGGAGCGAGCGACUCCUGCGCAAGCGCAGAGUGAAGGGCCGGGAACAGUGGAGGGUGCGAGGAAGACAAUGGGGGAGGACCCUGAGGCGGCCUCUGUGAGCCGACAGGAACACGUGGUCGAUCAGAGAGAGACUCGAGGUUCGUGAACGGAUGGGGAGGACCCUGAAAAGCACUGUGGAAUACAGGUUUCUAGUAACUUCAAAAUCACAUCAUUUGGACUGGGUAAGAAUUGCUGAAACUUUAAUGAAAAGACUGACUGGCUUAUAAAACUGCUAACCCAAAUAGAAUAAAAAUUAAUUGAAUACCGAGGAAAUGCUUCACCAGGUUUGCAUACUUAAUCAGCCUAUACUGAAAUUGUUUAGAUAUACAAUUUGAAUGAACUCCAUGGUCUAAGUCAAAUUACCUGUGAUAACCCAUCAGUUAUCCAUGCUAUGUGCCCAAUUUGGAGAAACAACUGGCACCCAAGAGGACAUAAGUCCGAUGUUAAGCAUGGACUCAUGGAGAACCAAGAUGGCUGCCUUGUCCUUCGUGAGUCCUUAAAGCUUUUGUUAUUAAAAGUUAUGCAUUCCAUGACUCAUCCUGGAAAAGAUAAAAUGAUCCAAAUUAAAUAUGUUGGUGUGGUGACUUACAGAUUGUUAAAAUAGUUUAUAAACAAUGUUUAGUUUGUCAAACCCAUACUCCUGGGAAGUCAAUCAAAGCUUCAUGUACAUUUGGCUACCUGAUGAGGCAUUUAAACAUUUAUAAAGGGGUUUCAUUCAGUUGUCAUUUUCAAUGUAUGUGUUCUGGUUGUACUAAAGCUUUCCCAUGCAGGAGGGCUAAUGUUAUAACAGUAGAUUACUAUGUAUCAGUGUAUUUUCACCAGGUAAAGAGCUUUUUAUGGUUCACUGAGGACAAUCAACCCCUUCACAAUCUAGAACCCAAAGAUGGGAUCUUCUGAGAACAUCAGAGAAACGCUGCCCUUGGCAUCAUCACUGCAACAAAACAUCAGGAUCUUGAACCUUGGGGUCAUAAUCUCACAACUGAGCAGGGUCACUCUUGGAACUCUACAUCCAUUGAAACCCUUAAGGUAAAGCUAAUCAGGGAAGUUUCUCCCCAGAAGAAGAUGGCAUCCUUGAUGUGAGCAGCUCUUUCUGAAGAUCAUGGAUCAAGACUUCUUACUAUCAUGAGACUCUUAUCUUUGAAUGUUUUUCCGUUGCUUCCGCCUCUGUGAACAACAGAAGUGAGAAGGGGGUCUGUUUUGUGCACUUAUGGGGUAUACUUUUAUUUGUGAAGGGCUUUGCAGCCAGCUUUAUACAUGGAUAAUCUUAUAACUUGAUAGAUAAAGAUGAAGGCCCAGUGUAUCAUAGGUGAGAAACUUCAAUGGUACAUAUGGUGCCUCAUAAUCAUUCAGAAGCAGAACAUUGGUUCACUCCUCUUAACCCACAGCAUGGGUUAAAGAGACCAUUGCCAAGAGGCCUUCCCUCUUCUAGAAGGGCAUCAUUUGUUAGGUCCUUUUUCCAUGGUUUGGAAUUAAAAAGGCAAUGACUAGAAACAUAUCCCUCAUGGUAGACUCUGUAGCAGAUUCUACUGUAAAGGCUACACAACAGAUGUUAAAUUCUCUUGUGAAAGUUAUGCUAAAAAAUAGAAUUGGCUAAACAGGAAAGUACCUGUGCAGAUGCUGGCACUUAAGGCCUAUGGAGAAAACAUCAGGUGUUAUAGAGAGUCUGUUGUAGGGAAUUAACGAAAAGACCACUGAGUUAAGUCAAAGAAUGGUCUAUUUGAGUUUAGGUGGUCUGGUUUAUGGGGACCCUGGCUAAGGAGCAUACUCCAAAUUCUUGGUGUUAACCCUCUCAGUAGUCAUAAGAAUAGUCUCCCUGGUGCACUGUAUUCUCUCAAAGGUUUUAAAUGUUUGCAUGAAGCCAUCUUUAGAACGUCAGAUGGUCUCUCUUCAACUGGAAUGACAAGAGCUGAAAGAAAUGUGUGACCACGAGGACACCGAAACCGAUGAGUGACAUGCUGAGACUGGAAAUCCAAAAUGAUAGUAACGGAGAGUGGCGCUAACAUCCUAAGUUUUGGUCACACUCUUGCCUAAGUGACAACCUGACAAAGGGGGAAUUUUUUAAACAAAAUGAUGGGAGGCCAUUGUUUUGGACUGAGCACUAGGUCCCAACAGACCAAACCGAACCAAAAUGGCAUCAUUCGUGCUAAAUGUGACAUAAUCGAAUUAAGACUUUAAGGAAACACAUGGGUCCUAGAAUAGACCAGGUUUUGUUUUUCUCUUGCAAACAGGACUUUCCAGCAUAAGGUGGUAUCCUCAACUCAGUCCUUGUUCCUACCUUUGCAAAACUCACUGUUCUGCUUCCUAGUGGGUUUCAAGACCAAUGGUGACAGUGACAUCAAUAACUCAAGUUUCGAUCAAUCUCUCAAAACUGAUAAAAUGACCAAAAAGGGGGAAUUGUUAAAGCGAACUAAAUAUGGCCUGAGAAGGACUCCGUACUUCUGUAUUGGAGUCCCUGUGAACAAACUGAGCCUAACUUAAUAGGUAGACAAGAUUGAAAACCUAAAUUAGGAGUAUGUACCUGUCACAAUUGCUGAGUCUCGGCCAGUCCCAGCAGCCGUACUUCAAUCACUCAUACACUGCUGAAUGUUCAAACUGUGUGUAAAUAAGGCAAAUGCCAACCUGUAACUAAUCCAGGUGUUUCUCUACCUCACUUCCCUUUUUUUGUCUAUAAAUCUUCCACCACGUGGCUGCACUGGAGUCUCUCUGAAUCUGCUGUAAUUCUGGGGGCUGCCCGAUGUGCAAAUCAUUCAUUGCUCAAUUAAACUCCUUUAAAUUUAAUUCAGCUGAAGUUUUCUUUUAACAAGAGUGAGAUAAGAAUCUGUGUUCUUAUCCCCCAGAAUGGAC